AGCAGCCGCGGUAAUUCCAGCUCCAAUAGCGUAUAUUAAAGUUGUUGCAGUUAAAAAGCUCGUAGUUGAAUUUCGGGACCAAUAUGUUGGUCGUGCCUAGGUACGUACUGUCAUGAUUGGUUUCUCCCUUCUGAAGAGCCACGAUGCCAUUAAUUUGGUGUCGUGGGGAAUCAGGACUGUUACUUUGAAAAAUUAGAGUGUUUAAAGCAGGCUCGCGCUUGAAUACAUUAGCAUGGAAUAAUGAAAUAGGACGUUUGAUUCUAUUUUGUUGGUUUCUAGGAUCGACGUAAUGAUUAAUAGGGAUAGUUGGGGGCAUUAGUAUUCAGUUGUCAGAGGUGAAAUUCUUGGAUUUAUUGAAG
Molecule: small RNA, 359 nt
Filed under: uncultured Entrophospora
Lineage: Eukaryota; Fungi; Glomeromycota; Glomeromycetes; Entrophosporales; Entrophosporaceae
Description: SSU rRNA
Rfam family: Eukaryotic small subunit ribosomal RNA
Source: RNAcentral